CGGUUGAUCCUGCCGGACCGGACUGCUAUCGGGGUAGGGCUAAGCCAUGCAAGUCGCACGCCCGGGGGCAUGGCCGGGCGUGGCGGACGGCUCAGUAACGCGUGGCUAACCUACCCUCGGGAGGGGGAUAACCCCGGGAAACUGGGGCUAAUCCCCCAUAGGCGCGGACACCUGGAAUGGGUCCGCACCGAAAGGGGCGUGACGCCAUCCUCGUCACGCUCGCCCGAGGAUGGGGCUGCGUCCUAUCAGGUAGUUGGCGGGGUAACGGCCCGCCAAGCCGAUAACGGGUAGGGGCCGUGAGAGCGGGAGCCCCGAGAUGGGCACUGAGACAAGGGCCCAGGCCCUACGGGGCGCAGCAGGCGCGAAACCUCCGCAAUGCGGGAAACCGUGACGGGGUUACCCCGAGUGCCACCCGAUGAGGGUGGCUUUUCCCCGGUCUAAAAAGCCGGGGGAAUAAGCGGGGGGCAAGUCUGGUGUCAGCCGCCGCGGUAAUACCAGCCCCGCGAGUGGUCCGGACGAUUAUUGGGCCUAAAGCGUCCGUAGCCGGCCCGGCAAGUCCCUCUUUAAAGCCCACGGCUCAACCGUGGGACCGGAGGGAUACUGCCGGGCUAGGGGGCGGGAGAGGCCGGGGGUACUUCCGGGGUAGGGGCGAAAUCCUGUAAUCCCGGAAGGACCGCCAGUGGCGAANGCGCCCGGCUGGAACGCGCCCGACGGUGAGGGACGAAAGCUGGGGGAGCAAAAGGGAUUAGAGACCCCUGUAGUCCCAGCUGUAAACGAUGCGGGCUAGGG
Molecule: ribosomal RNA, 789 nt
Filed under: uncultured archaeon
Lineage: Archaea
Description: bacterial SSU rRNA
Rfam family: Archaeal small subunit ribosomal RNA
Source: RNAcentral